AUUGAACGCUGGCGGCAGGCCUAACACAUGCAAGUCGAACGGUAGCACAGAGCGCUUGCUCUCGGGUGACGAGUGGCGGACGGGUGGGGAAUGUCUGGGAAACUGCCCGGUGGAGGGGGAUAACUACUGGAAACAGUAGCUAAUAACGCAUAACGUCGCAAGACCAAAGUGCGCGACCUUCGGGGCUCACACCAUCGGAUGUGCCCAGAGGGGAUUAGCUAGUAGGUGGGGUAAUGGUUGACCUAGGCGACGAUCCCUAGCUGGUCUGCUAGGAGGACCAGCCAGACUGGAAGGGAGACACGGUCCAGCAUCCUACGGGAGGCAGCAGCGGGGAAUAUUGCACAAUGGUGGGCGGCCGGAUGCAGCCGUGCCGCGUGGAGGGAGAAGGCGGUCGGGUUGUAAAGUACUUUCAGCGGGGAGGAAGGCGGUGGAGUGAAUAACUUCACCGAAUGACGUUACCCGCAGAAGAAGCACCGGCUAACUCCGUGCCAGCCGCCGCGGUAA
This 504-nucleotide ribosomal RNA is filed under the name uncultured bacterium. Its description in RNAcentral is "partial 16S ribosomal RNA". It matches the Rfam family "Bacterial small subunit ribosomal RNA", at positions 29 to 523 of the family's 1533-position model. The record is from RNAcentral.